UGGUGGAGUGAUUUGUCUGGUUAAUUCCGUUAACGAACGAGACCUCGACCUGCUAAAUAGUUUGGCUAACUCUUCUGGGUUGGUACAUGAACUUCUUAGAGGGACUAUCGGUGUGUAGCCGAUGGAAGUUCGAGGCAAUAACA
This 143-nucleotide ribosomal RNA is filed under the name uncultured eukaryote. Its description in RNAcentral is "partial 18S ribosomal RNA". It matches the Rfam family "Eukaryotic small subunit ribosomal RNA", at positions 1299 to 1458 of the family's 1831-position model. The record is from RNAcentral.